UCGGUCUGUGAGAGAACAGCACGCCGG
Molecule: non-coding RNA, 27 nt
Filed under: Rattus norvegicus (Norway rat)
Lineage: Eukaryota; Metazoa; Chordata; Mammalia; Rodentia; Muridae
Source: RNAcentral